This 483-nucleotide ribosomal RNA is filed under the name uncultured bacterium. RNAcentral's name for it is "partial 16S ribosomal RNA". It matches the Rfam family "Bacterial small subunit ribosomal RNA", at positions 28 to 523 of the family's 1533-position model. The record is from RNAcentral.
GACGAACGCUGGCGGCGUGCUUAACACAUGCAAGUCGAACGAUGAAGCUGGAGCUUGCUCCGGUGGAUUAGUGGCGAACGGGUGAGUAACACGUGAGCAAUCUGCCCUUGACUCUGGGAUAACUGCGGGAAACUGUAGCUAAUACCGGAUACGACACCUUGGGGCAUCCCAGGGUGUGGAAAGAAUUUCGGUCAAGGAUGAGCUCGCGGCCUAUCAGCUAGUUGGUGAGGUAAUGGCUCACCAAGGCGACGACGGGUAGCCGGCCUGAGAGGGUGAGCGAGCACACGGGAAGUGAGACAGGGUUGAGACUCCUACGUGAGGCAGCAGUGGGGAAUGUUGCACAGUGGGCGAAAGCCUGAUGCAGCAACGCCGCGUGCGGGAUGAAGGCCUUCGGGGUGUACACCUCUUUUAGCAGGGAAGAAGCGAAAGUGACGGUACAUGCAGAAAAAGCACCGGCUAACAACGUGGCAGCCGCCGUGGUAA